This 1306-nucleotide unclassified non-coding RNA is filed under the name Hevea brasiliensis (rubber tree). The record is from RNAcentral. Lineage: Eukaryota; Viridiplantae; Streptophyta; Magnoliopsida; Malpighiales; Euphorbiaceae.
AAUUUUUCUUUUAACUUAUUAGGAAUAUUGCGAUCACAUAAAAUAUAUCUUUAUAUAAGCAAAUUGUUGGAUGUUUCUCUUCUCACGAAAAGAAACAAAUUCCCAUAACUUUAUUUGUAGCAAACACAUGUGCAUGUAUGAUUUGCAACAGCACAUGUGCUUGUAUUUUACAUGUUUCAAAAGCACUCCACAAGUCAAGCGAUACACUAAAUGCUCUUCAAACAACUUAUGUCAACAUCAUUAGCAAGAGAGGAAAACCCUUGGCAUUUAAUCACAAAACUGCUGCAGGCAUGCAUGAUAAUAUGCUUAAUCCAGUAAACCAAGUUGCAAGACAGCUUUUGUUUUCAGGGGUUCUUAUUUUGUACAGCAAGGUGUAAUGAAACGGAAGAAAUGACAAAGAGAAUAGGGCUAAGGAAGAGUACAACAAUCCUAGAGAAAAUAGGCCAGGUGGCAGUUAGGAUUUGGUGACAACAAAUAUAGGUAUUAGAAACUGAGAAAAACAGUUUGCAAAUUCGAUGUUAACCACAAAUAUGGGUAUUUUUGACAUUUUGUCUAUGAUGAAUAUGCAAACCAAUUACACAAUCAUGACCUAAACUGCAUAUUUUUGAAACAGGGGAAACUUGCAUGUUUAUUACAUGAAACACCUUGGGGAGAUGGGUCCUUAUAAUUAAACAUUAAAUGAAACGAUUUCAUGACAAUUACAUGCCAGACUAGGAAGCAUGUAUGCUUUGUUAUAUUGACAUAUAUGCAGUCAAUUGCUUUCCAAUGCAAUGAACAUUUCAACCCUUUAGUUUACCCUAAUUUACCGUGUUGAAUAAGGAUACUUAGGCAUAGGAAUGAAAGUUCAUCAAAUUAGUGGGAAAAUGAGUAAAAGUUGGGAAAAUAGGCAAUGGCUUCCCAUCUCAGCACAUAUUGAUCAUUCAAGUUAAAUGAACCAUAGGUAGCAAGUGCAAAAGGCUUCCCAUCUCCCCUUUCAACAAAUUGCUUUGCUUCAUGUACAGUUACAAGUUUCAUGACUGGCUUCCCAUCUCCCCAGUGGGAAAAUUGAUUCACUUUAUUUAUGACAAAAUGUUUCAAAAAGAAGUACAAGGGUGACCCAAUGUAGGAAGCAUCGCACACUUGUGGGCUCUAAGAAGGGUUGACGUACGUAGCCUCACCCCUACUUUGAAAAGAGGCUGUUCCAAAAAAGGAGUAUGAACGAUCAAAAUCAGUUAAGCAGUUUCAACAAGAUGUGUGUAGUCAAGGAGAAAUUCCAUUGGCUUUGUCCAUAAUCUAAGUAGUUAACACAGCUAAUAAUAAUAAUAAU